UUAAGCGACUAAGCGUACACGGUGGAUGCCCUGGCAGUCAGAGGCGAUGAAGGACGUGCUAAUCUGCGAAAAGCGUCGGUAAGGUGAUAUGAACCGUUAUAACCGGCGAUGUCCGAAUGGGGAAACCCAGUGUGAUUCGUCACACUAUCGUUAACUGAAUACAUAGGUUAACGAGGCGAACCGGGGGAACUGAAACAUCUAAGUACCCCGAGGAAAAGAAAUCAACCGAGAUUCCCCCAGUAGCGGCGAGCGAACGGGGAGCAGCCCAGAGUCUGAAUCAGCUUGUGUGUUAGUGGAACGGUCUGGAAAGUCCGACGGUACAGGGUGAUAGUCCCGUACACCAAAAUGCACAGGUUGUGAACUCGAAGAGUAGGGCGGGACACGUGGUAUCCUGUCUGAAUAUGGGGGGACCAUCCUCCAAGGCUAAAUACUCCUGACUGACCGAUAGUGAACCAGUACCGUGAGGGAAAGGCGAAAAGAACCCCGGCGAGGGGAGUGAAAAAGAACCUGAAACCGUGUACGUACAAGCAGUGGGAGCACCUUCGGGUGUGACUGCGUACCUUUUGUAUAAUGGGUCAGCGACUUAUAUUCUGUAGCAAGGUUAACCGUAUAGGGGAGCCGCAGGGAAACCGAGUCUUAACUGGGCGUUAAGUUGCAGGGUAUAGACCCGAAACCCGGUGAUCUAGCCAUGGGCAGGUUGAAGGUUGGGUAACACUAACUGGAGGACCGAACCGACUAAUGUUGAAAAAUUAGCGGAUGACUUGUGGCUGGGGGUGAAAGGCCAAUCAAACCGGGAGAUAGCUGGUUCUCCCCGAAAGCUAUUUAGGUAGCGCCUCGUGAACUCAUCUUCGGGGGUAGAGCACUGUUUCGGCUAGGGGGUCAUCCCGACUUACCAACCCGAUGCAAACUACGAAUACCGAAGAAUGUUAUCACGGGAGACACACGGCGGGUGCUAACGUCCGUCGUGAAGAGGGAAACAACCCAGACCGCCAGCUAAGGUCCCAAAGUCAUGGUUAAGUGGGAAACGAUGUGGGAAGGCACAGACAGCCAGGAUGUUGGCUUAGAAGCAGCCAUCAUUUAAAGAAAGCGUAAUAGCUCACUGGUCGAGUCGGCCUGCGCGGAAGAUGUAACGGGGCUAAACCAUGCACCGAAGCUGCGGCAGCGACACGAUGUGUUGUUGGGUAGGGGAGCGUUCUGUAAGCCUGCGAAGGUGGCCUGUGAGGGUUGCUGGAGGUAUCAGAAGUGCGAAUGCUGACAUAAGUAACGAUAAAGCGGGUGAAAAGCCCGCUCGCCGGAAGACCAAGGGUUCCUGUCCAACGUUAAUCGGGGCAGGGUGAGUCGACCCCUAAGGCGAGGCCGAAAGGCGUAGUCGAUGGGAAACAGGUUAAUAUUCCUGUACUUGGUGUUACUGCGAAGGGGGGACGGAGAAGGCUAUGUUAGCCGGGCGACGGUUGUCCCGGUUUAAGCAUGUAGGCUGGUUAUCCAGGCAAAUCCGGAUAAUCAAGGCUGAGGUGUGAUGACGAGGCACUACGGUGCUGAAGUAACAAAUGCCCUGCUUCCAGGAAAAGCCUCUAAGCAUCAGGUAACAUCAAAUCGUACCCCAAACCGACACAGGUGGUCAGGUAGAGAAUACCAAGGCGCUUGAGAGAACUCGGGUGAAGGAACUAGGCAAAAUGGUGCCGUAACUUCGGGAGAAGGCACGCUGGUGUGUAGGUGAAGCCCCUGCGGGUGGAGCUGAGACCAGUCGAAGAUACCAGCUGGCUGCAACUGUUUAUUAAAAACACAGCACUGUGCAAACACGAAAGUGGACGUAUACGGUGUGACGCCUGCCCGGUGCCGGAAGGUUAAUUGAUGGGGUUAUCCGUAAGGAGAAGCUCUUGAUCGAAGCCCCGGUAAACGGCGGCCGUAACUAUAACGGUCCUAAGGUAGCGAAAUUCCUUGUCGGGUAAGUUCCGACCUGCACGAAUGGCGUAAUGAUGGCCAGGCUGUCUCCACCCGAGACUCAGUGAAAUUGAACUCGCUGUGAAGAUGCAGUGUACCCGCGGCAAGACGGAAAGACCCCGUGAACCUUUACUAUAGCUUGACACUGAACAUUGAGCCUUGAUGUGUAGGAUAGGUGGGAGGCUUUGAAGCGUGGACGCCAGUCUGCGUGGAGCCAACCUUGAAAUACCACCCUUUAAUGUUUGAUGUUCUAACGUUGGCCCCUAAUCGGGGUUGCGGACAGUGUCUGGUGGGUAGUUUGACUGGGGCGGUCUCCUCCCAAAGCGUAACGGAGGAGCACGAAGGUUAGCUAAUCCUGGUCGGACAUCAGGAGGUUAGUGCAAUGGCAUAAGCUAGCUUGACUGCGAGCGUGACGGCGCGAGCAGGUGCGAAAGCAGGUCAUAGUGAUCCGGUGGUUCUGAAUGGAAGGGCCAUCGCUCAACGGAUAAAAGGUACUCCGGGGAUAACAGGCUGAUACCGCCCAAGAGUUCAUAUCGACGGCGGUGUUUGGCACCUCGAUGUCGGCUCAUCACAUCCUGGGGCUGAAGUAGGUCCCAAGGGUAUGGCUGUUCGCCAUUUAAAGUGGUACGCGAGCUGGGUUUAGAACGUCGUGAGACAGUUCGGUCCCUAUCUGCCGUGGGCGCUGGAGAAUUGAGGGGGGCUGCUCCUAGUACGAGAGGACCGGAGUGGACGCAUCACUGGUGUUCGGGUUGUCAUGCCAAUGGCACUGCCCGGUAGCUAAAUGCGGAAGAGAUAAGUGCUGAAAGCAUCUAAGCACGAAACUUGCCCCGAGAUGAGUUCUCCCUGAGACUUUAAGUCUCCUGAAGGAACGUUGAAGACGACGACGUUGAUAGGCCGGGUGUGUAAGCGCAGCGAUGCGUUGAGCUAACCGGUACUAAUGAACCGUGAGGCUUAACCUU
This 2900-nucleotide ribosomal RNA is filed under the name Klebsiella quasipneumoniae. Its description in RNAcentral is "23S ribosomal RNA". It matches the Rfam family "Bacterial large subunit ribosomal RNA". Lineage: Bacteria; Pseudomonadati; Pseudomonadota; Gammaproteobacteria; Enterobacterales; Enterobacteriaceae. The record is from RNAcentral.